ACAAUAGGUCAGCAAAGGAGUUCCCGUAGUUUCAAAUGAAAUUUUACCCAGUACUCUAACAGUGUAUAAGCUUCUGAGGAAGUAGUCAAUGUUCCAUAGAGAUAAGAGAAAAUUCAAACAGGCAAACAACUCUGCAAGGCUGAAUUGCAGGCAUGAUCUAAAACUUCCUUCUUUCUUCUAAAGGCCUCCUCCGUUCCAAAGUUGCUCAUCCUAAAACCUGAAAAAAAAAAUGACUCAGAAGUGGUUCCCAUCUCAAGAACUACCCACGAGUCUCAGUGGACACAUUCCCCGAUGCAGCCUUCCAAUCCAGCAGAGGUUCCAACCAACUUCCAAACAGGUGCAACUUGAUGGCACCUCAUUUUUGGCUGUACCAGAUGCCUUCUAUCUCUGGACUCCUGCCCUCAGACUUCUCCGACACCUGAAGAAAGCUUCUGGGACAGCUGACAUGCACAACCUGGGAGCUAAAACAUGUGGGACCAGCUGUGACCAAUGAACAAUGAUGGACAGGAGACGAUAACCCCAUUAGUUCCUUACAGUGCUGAGAUAAAUUUCAUGAGUCUCCUAGAAGAUCUGAUGGGAUUGAACAUCAGUUGUACCUAGCAUGGCCGCUGUACUGGCUUUCCUUCCUUCCCUAUUUCAUCCCCCCUCGUCCCUCCUACUCCUUGGGAUCACAUUGACAAAUAAGUCUCUUGCAUGCAAUUCUUUAUUUCAAGCUCUGUAUUCAGUUAGCAGACAGCAGAAAUGUGGUCCAAAGCAGGAGAGGACUCAGCAGCAGCAGGCUCUGGUACAAUCUGCCCUGUCACUCAAGCCAUGUGAAUGAGAAGAUCCAGUGGUGGCUGGUUGAAUGCAUGACUCCCCUGUGGAUGUCAGCCAGAGUCUUCUUCUCAGACAACCAGUGCUAGCACAAUGGGCCCAUGGAUGAGAUGGCUCAGGUGGCAGGAUAAAGGCUGUAUGUGGGCUCGGUAUUGUGGGCUUUCUCUUAGCAAUGACCUAGCUAUUACCACUGCUGAAUGGUCCAGCCAACCAAUGGCAGAGGGAGAUGCCAAUCUCUAUAGCACCUUCACAGAUAUCAGCCAGGCCCUUGGGGAAAGGCUGAUCAUAACAGACCACUUCCACCCCAAAAAGGAGAGGGGAGAUAGAAAUUCAUGCUUACAUAAAUUGACAUGUACUCCAGGUUUGGGUUUGCUUUCUCUGCCUUUAGGGUCUCUGCAAGUGCCACUAUUUGAGAACAUAAGAAUGCCUAAUCUAUCAGUGUAGUAUCCCACACAACAUUGCUUCAGACCCAGGGAUCGAUAUAUGUCAAAGGAGGUGCAGCAAUGAGUGUAUGAGUAGGGACUCCAUGAGUUUUCUCAUAUACCACCUCAUUCACAAGCAUCCAGCUUAACUGAAGACUGGAUUGGCCUGUUAAAGGCUUAGUUAGGAGACUAGCCUGAGAAACACAAUCUGCGAUUCCAGUAUCACCUUGAUUCACGCCCCGGCCCUGGAAUUUCUGCAAGGUAGCUUGGUUUUUUGGUUUUGUUUUUGAGGGGUUUUUUAGUGAAGAAUGGUGUCAGAAUCUGGGUAGCAGGUGUUCUCAUUGUUAUUGGGAUCUCAUUUCUUCUUGGUCCUUUUAAGAGGCAGAGCUAGGAAAUAUAUGACCGUAUGUAUACUAUACAUAUAUAUGUCUUCACACAUAUUUAUAAAUAUACACAUACAUACAUCUGCACAUAAACACACAUAUAUGCAUUCACUUGCAUAUUUUAGAAAUCAUAAAUUCAAUUCACACCAAUAUGCCAAUUCCAAUCCACUCCAUAGGGCUAUUUCUGCCUUUUCUCAUUUGCUCAACCUUAUUAUACACCUAAAAAGGGUUUCGAGAUUGCUUCAUCCAUACUACUACAUGGUUCGCAUCUUAAGAGUGAUGAAACUUUGUCCCAAAGCUACCCGGCAGGAUUACACUCCUCUUAUUUGUGAGAAAUGUAUCACAUACCCAUGGCUGAACCAGUCUCUAGCAAAGGAGACAGGGGACCAUCAUGAUUGGUUUAGACCAAUCAUUCUCCUCCAUCCCCACCACCCCUGGGACCAGAGGCCAGGGCCCCCUCUCAAACACACCAUCCCAUGGAGGAGGGUGAGCUACCUGGAGAUAAUAAGGUUUCUCCUAGGAAGAAGGAAUGCAGGCUACAGAGCAUGGAUAUGGGAAAGGCAACCAACUAUCUCCUAUAUUAACCUACAAUCCAGAGUGGAAUAGGCAACAUAAGACUUCUGAAGUUAUAUAUAAAAUGUUCUUUGUGUGUACACACGUGAGAGGAGAAAAUCCUCAGUCAUCAUUUUCUCAGAGGGCUCAGUGACCCAAGAAAAGUUUAGAACCAUUUUCAUUUUUAAACAAACACAGGGCCGGGCGCGGUGGCUCACGCCUGUAAUCCCAGCACUUUGGGAGGCCGAGACGGGCGGAUCACGAGGUCAGGAGAUCGAGACCAUCUUGGCUAACACGGUGAAACCCCGUUUCUACUAAAAAUACAAAAAAUUAGCCGGGCGUGUUGGCGGGCGCCUGUAGUCCCAGCUACUUGGGAGGCUGAGGCAGGAGAAUGGCGUGAACCCGGGAGGCG
RNAcentral lists this long non-coding RNA (2582 nucleotides) under Homo sapiens (human). Its description in RNAcentral is "MAP2K6 antisense RNA 1 (MAP2K6-AS1)". The record is from RNAcentral. Lineage: Eukaryota; Metazoa; Chordata; Mammalia; Primates; Hominidae.